AAGUCGUAACAAGGUUUCCGUAGGUGAACCUGCGGAAGGAUCAUCAAUAGUAUUCCAAUAUAUACCUUCUUGUGAAUUGUGUAGUUGCAAGUGUAUGUAGUGUGUAGUGAUGGAUUGAUAUAGUGGGUGGCCAAGUGGUAGCCAUCUUUUGGUUAUGACGAGGCGCCCAUCAUCAUCCAUGCCACACUACAUAUAUUAUUAUUAAAACUUUGUCAAUGUUGUAUUUCUUUUCUGUUUGAUUCAGACUAUAUUUCUAGUCAGAAGAUAAAUGUUAAUACAACUUGCAGCGAUGGAUCUCUAGGCUCUGGU
This 309-nucleotide unclassified non-coding RNA is filed under the name fungal sp. RNAcentral describes it as "partial internal transcribed spacer region". The stretch from base 1 to 46 matches the Rfam family "Eukaryotic small subunit ribosomal RNA", at positions 1786 to 1831 of the family's 1831-position model. Lineage: Eukaryota; Fungi. The record is from RNAcentral.